GACGAACGCUGGCGGCGUGCCUAAUACAUGCAAGUUGAGCGAUGAAGCUGGAGCUUGCCACUCAUGUGGAGUGGCGCACGGGUGAGUAUCACGUGUGUAGAAUUCCUGUUGGAGCGGGGGACCACUUGGAAACACGAAUGCUAACACCGCAUAACAACUUUUAACAUAAGUUUUACUUCUGAAAUAUGCUUUUACCUCUAUCAGAUAGGAUCUCGCGUUGUUUGAGCUAGUUGGUGAGGUAAAGGCUCACCAAGGCGAUGAUACAUAGCCGACCUGAGAGGGUGAUCGGCCACACUGGGACUGAGACACGGCCCAAACUCCUACGGGAGGCAGCAGUAGGGAAUCUUCGGCAAUGGACGAAAGUCUGACCGAGCAACGCCGCGUGAGUGAAGAAGGUUUUCGGAUCGUAAAACUCUGUUGUUAGAGAAGAACGAUUGUGAGAGUGGAAAGCUCAUCAAGUGACGGUAACUAACCAGAAAGGGACGGCUAACUACGUG
This 497-nucleotide ribosomal RNA is filed under the name uncultured bacterium. RNAcentral describes it as "partial 16S ribosomal RNA". It matches the Rfam family "Bacterial small subunit ribosomal RNA", at positions 28 to 507 of the family's 1533-position model. The record is from RNAcentral.